RNAcentral lists this ribosomal RNA (1569 nucleotides) under Triticum aestivum (bread wheat). RNAcentral's name for it is "partial small subunit ribosomal RNA". Lineage: Eukaryota; Viridiplantae; Streptophyta; Magnoliopsida; Poales; Poaceae. The record is from RNAcentral.
AUGGCGACGAGAGCAGAACCGAAGGUCGAGGUGAAGGUUUUCGUGGACGAGGAGAAUAGCAGGGUGGUCUUCGCGGAGUCCGGCAGGGAGUUCGUCGACGUGCUCUUGGGCUUCCUCACGCUGCCUCUCGGCACCGUCGUUCGCCUCCUCGGCAAGCAGUCUCAGGCCGGAUGCCUGGACGAGAUCUACAAGAGCGUGGACGGGCUCCCCACUCGCCUCUUCAAAACCGAGGCCUGCAAGACGAUGCUUCUCAGUCCCAUCAACGCUGCGGCGAAGCGGUGCUGUCAACUCAAGGUCAGAGUUGACGACACCAAGCACGGGGAGGUCUAUGUUUGCGCUGACACGAGCUGCUGCGCGCAUGUUGAAGGCGCCUUCAGCUCCGUCCGCGGCGCUGUCUGCAAAUGCGGCAAGGCCAUGUUCCAGCUCGCCGGGGAGAGGCCGGAGAAUGAUUGUAGCACUAGCGCUGCUCGUGGUGGUGAUUUUGACGUCGCUGUUUUUGUCAAAGAGGACGUGAAGUUCAUCGUCACCGAUGAUUUUCAUGUGGCACCGGCCUCAACGUCUCUCAUGUUAUCCAUUUUGGAAAAGUUUGAAGUUCAGGAUCUCUCCUGUCUUGAGCAGAGGACUCUGCAACUUAGUUCAGACAAGAUGAUUAGCCUGCUCAAGAGAUCAUUAACGUCGAAGAACCCUUUAACUGGUCACUAUUUUGAUCUUGCCAUCGCCUCUGACGAUUCAGUCACAGAUAUUCUCCCCGGUAAUUUGCAUCCUCAACAAGAAAACGAUGCUGAGUACACGCUAAACAAUGUUAAGAUUAAGGUUCUUCAGACUAAGGACAAUUCAUCGGUGUUGUAUGCUGAAGCUGGUGCCGAUUUUGCGGAUCUUCUCUUGGGAUUGCUAAGCAUACCACUGGGAUCCAUAGUGAAAAUGUAUGGGAAGUGCACAUCAAACGGGUGUGUUCACAAUCUUUACAGUAGCAUCAAUGGAUGUGCUGAUGGAUUCUUGAGGCCAGGAUGCCAGAUCUCACUACUGUCCCCGAACUUGCCACCCUUCUUUGGUUGUGGAACUGCUAAGAUGCUACAAGUUGAAGAACUAUCUCCAUAUAAGCAAGAGAUCGAUGGCUGCAUCAAGUGCUUCAAGAUCGGCGGUUUCAGGGAUCUUGCACGUUGCUGGGAGCAGCAUUAUGUUUACAACGGUUUAGAAAAUGUAUAUACAUAUAAGAAUUGCCGUGCUGAUGUAAAGAAAUCAAGCCUUUUUGAGUGGGACCCAAAACUACCAAAGGGAGAAGAAAGUGGCACUGGAGAAGCAUAUGUCAAGCAGGGGCCUCAGAGUUUCAUGGUUACUGACAAUCUACAUGUUCUUCCUCUGUCCUUAGCAAGCAGUCUACGGGUUAUUAGUGAAGCCAAGGUUCAGAGAAAGGACCUUGUGGAGAAAGAGCUCGCUCUCACAAAACCCCAGAUACUGAAAGCUGCCUUGGUGACUCGCAAAGCUCUCAGCACUGCGCUUCUGCCUCCCAAGGAGCCUGCUCCCAAGAAUAUGAAGAAGCUGCAUCACCAGAGCUUCGGUCUAUAUUAG